This 292-nucleotide long non-coding RNA is filed under the name Elaeis guineensis (African oil palm). Its description in RNAcentral is "long non-coding RNA (EGUI_LNC066932)". Lineage: Eukaryota; Viridiplantae; Streptophyta; Magnoliopsida; Arecales; Arecaceae. The record is from RNAcentral.
GCCAUCUUGGAAGAUUUAGUUUCGUGCUAGAUUACUUGUUGACUCGAGUUCACCCAUGCUGACUAGGCUGGUUAGACAUAUUGAUGUACUAACCUGAAUUUGAUUAGUUAGAUGUCAGAUCUCUGAUUUAGAAGAGACUUAAACCUAAAACUUUUCACUAAAUAUUAAGUCUAGAAGUCUUCCAUCAUUAUAGAGAUGAGGGUGCCUAACGUUGAUCGUUCUUGACUGGUUACAGUGGUUUGGUUGCAUCGAAAAGGUGCAACCAUUCUAUUAAUAUUUUAUUGCUCAAGGU